UCUCAUCUACGCGUCACACUGCCACAAGAAUUCAGCGUAGCUUUUCUGUAUGGUAUAGUCCCCCGGUGACAAUUGAAUCGCUUCCGUGUACAACUCCUCUGCCAUAUCCGCGUCUCCCAGCUUUCGCCACGCCAUUAGUGCCAGUUUCGAAAGCACUUCUGCGUUGCGACUGGCUCCCUGUAGAACGGCCUCGAAGUUGGCUA
This 203-nucleotide long non-coding RNA is filed under the name Physcomitrium patens. RNAcentral describes it as "long non-coding RNA (PPAT_LNC004284)". Lineage: Eukaryota; Viridiplantae; Streptophyta; Bryopsida; Funariales; Funariaceae. The record is from RNAcentral.